This 275-nucleotide unclassified non-coding RNA is filed under the name fungal sp. Its description in RNAcentral is "partial internal transcribed spacer region". The stretch from base 1 to 46 matches the Rfam family "Eukaryotic small subunit ribosomal RNA", at positions 1786 to 1831 of the family's 1831-position model. The record is from RNAcentral. Lineage: Eukaryota; Fungi.
AAGUCGUAACAAGGUUUCCGUAGGUGAACCUGCGGAAGGAUCAUUCUUGUAUCAAUUCAUUGUGAAGUUUACCUUCUCAAUAACUUACUUUGUGAACUGUCUCAGGCGUGCUUUGUUGCUGGAUGUCUGUUGUUGGCGCGUCAGCUGCAAGGCUGGCCGUCAAUGCGCGCCGGCAACAAGGCUGCCAUUGUUUAUUACUCAUCUUCUAUAUACUAUUUGUCUAAUUUAUAUAUUUAAACCAAAUACAACUUUUAGCAACGGAUCUCUAGGCUCUC